Molecule: ribosomal RNA, 254 nt
Filed under: uncultured bacterium
Lineage: Bacteria
Description: partial 16S ribosomal RNA
Rfam family: Bacterial small subunit ribosomal RNA
Source: RNAcentral
GACGAACCGAGCGAACGUUAUUCGGAAUCACUGGGCUUAAAGGGCGCGUAGGCGGGCGGCCAAGUCAGGGGUGAAAGCCCCCAGCUCAACUGGGGAAGUGCCUUUGGAAACUGGGGAACUUGAGUGCAGAAGAGAAAAGCGGAAUUCCACGUGUAGCGGUGAAAUGCGUAGAGAUGUGGAGGAACACCAGUGGCGAAAGCGGCUUUUUGGUCUGUAACUGACGCUGAGGCGCGAAAGCGUGGGGAGCGAACAGG